CCUACGGGUGGCAGCAGUGAGGAAUAUUGGUCAAUGGGCGCGAGCCUGAACCAGCCAAGUAGCGUGAAGGAUGACUGCCCUACGGGUUGUAAACUUCUUUUAUAAAGGAAUAAAGUGAGGCAUGUGUGCCUUUUUGUAUGCACCUUAUGAAUAAGGAUCGGCUAACUUCGUGCCAGCAGCCGCGGUAAUACGGAGGUUCCGAGCGUUAUCCGGAUUUAUUGGGUUUAAAGGGAGCGUAGAUGGGUUGUUAAGUCAGUUGUGAAAGUUUGCGGCUCAACCGUAAAAUUGCAAUUGAUACUGGCAGCCUUGAGUACAGGUGAGGUAGGCGGAAUUCGUGGUGUAGCGGUGAAAUGCUUAGAUAUCACGAAGAACUCCGAUUGCGAAGGCAGCUUACUAAACUGCCACUGACAUUGAUGCUCGAAAGUGUGGGUAUCAAACAGGAUUAGAUACCCUAGUAGUC
This 460-nucleotide ribosomal RNA is filed under the name uncultured bacterium. Its description in RNAcentral is "partial 16S ribosomal RNA". It matches the Rfam family "Bacterial small subunit ribosomal RNA", at positions 338 to 795 of the family's 1533-position model. The record is from RNAcentral.